CGCGAGCGGCCGCUGAGGCGCCGGGACUGCUUCCGCCUCGAGGUUCCGGGGGGCGGAGGGAGCUGCGGCCGCCCGCGGGGGACGCCCUCGGGCCCGGGCGUCGCCGCGUAGGGCGUGCAGUACUUCAUUCUUGUGAAUUCCUAUUUGUGGACACUUUAAGGCCCAGCACCAUUUCCUCUUUGAAGCGCACCGCCCGUCUGUCUCCGUCCCGCUCCAUCACCUCACCUGUUCCCGGCCGCGGUGCUGCAAGCCCUUUUGUAAAACUUGCGUACGCUCUGCGUUUGUCUUCCUCGCUUCCCCGGCAAGCUCCGCAGUGGUGGGCCCACGCUCCACUCGUCUCUGUGUGGCUGGCAGCAAGCCCGGCGCUUGGCACCUGGAGGAUGACAUGAGUGGAUGGACAGAUGUAUGGACCUCAGGGCAGAGGGCAGCCCUUAAAAAGGGGGCAGUUGCAGCAUAAAUCACAGAAGCUUCUCUUGUCCUUUGAGGACUCUGAGGACAAAAGGUGUAGCUACUACCGGACCACGUUUAUUCUCUCCGUGGCACAUACCACACUCCGCAAGUAACCUGUUCGUCUGGUCACUCAUUGUUUCCUCCUCCUCCCACUUCACACUGGAUUUCCUCAGGGCGGGGACGCGGACUGUCCUGCUCGCUGGUGUACCUUUACCACUGGCACCGGCGAAUAUUUGUCCAACCAGAAACAUCCUCCCACAGUGAAAAUCCUCCCGGCCAAAUGCUGAGAGCGUCCUGAAGACCUUACCGUGGUGGAGCUCCAAGCGGGACUGCGGAGUGGCAGAAAUAACACUCGUCUGGGUCAGGAAAUCUGAGCUCUGUGAGUGUGGGCAGGCCCCCUCCCUAAGCCUCAGCUUCUGUAUCUGUGAAAUGAGCCAGGAGUUCCCAUCGUGGCUCAGUGGUUAAUGAAUCCGACUAGGAACCAUGAGGUUGCGUGUUCGAUGCCUGGCCUCGCUCAGUGGGUUAACGAUCUGGCGUUGCCGUGAGCUGUAGUGUAGGUUGCAGACACGGCUCGGAUCCCGCGUUGCUGUGGCUGUGGUGUAGGCCAGCAGCUACAGCUCCUGUUAGACCCCUAGCCUGGGAACCUCCAGAUGCCACGGGUGUGGCCCUAGAAAAAGCAAAAAGACAAAAAAAAAAAUGUAAAAUGAGCCAGCUAAUAGUUCCUUGGAAGUUCCCUGGUGGCACAGCGAGUUAAAGACCCAGCGUGGCCACAGCGGUGGUGCAGGCUGCAAGGCUGGCUCGGGUUCCAUCUCUGGCCCAGACACUUCCACAUGCUGUGGGUACGACCAAAAAAAAAAACAUGGAAAAAAGAAUCCUCGAAUUGAUACAAAGCAUUGCUAUGUGCAAAGUUCUUUUAUCAUCUAUUAUUUCAAUCUAGUCUCAUAGUAGAUAGAACAGACAUUGUCAGUAUUUUUACAAAGGCUCAGAAAGUUUACUGUCUAUAAGAUCUAUUUCAAACAUUCUCUGAGUCUCUAUAAGUCAUCUGUACAAAAAGUCAGUAGUGUGAAUCCUGACUUCUCUUUAUUUUGGCCUUAUUAUUAUCAUUUU
Catagonus wagneri (Chacoan peccary) is the source of this 1557-nucleotide long non-coding RNA. NCBI's taxonomy places the organism in Eukaryota, Metazoa, Chordata, Mammalia, Artiodactyla, Tayassuidae. The record is from Ensembl.